UACGGAGGAUGCGAGCGUUAUCCGGAUUUAUUGGGUUUAAAGGGUGCGUAGGCGGACUGUCAAGUCAGCGGUAAAAUUGAGAGGCUCAACCUCUUCCCGCCGUUGAAACUGGUGGCCUUGAGUGGAUGAGAAGUACGCGGAAUGCGUGGUGUAGCGGUGAAAUGCAUAGAUAUCACGCAGAACUCCGAUUGCGAAGGCAGCGUACCGGCAUCCAACUGACGCUGAGGCACGAAAGCGUGGGGAUCAAACAGG
RNAcentral lists this ribosomal RNA (252 nucleotides) under uncultured bacterium. RNAcentral's name for it is "partial 16S ribosomal RNA". It matches the Rfam family "Bacterial small subunit ribosomal RNA", at positions 524 to 776 of the family's 1533-position model. The record is from RNAcentral.